AGUAAAGAAGCGAAGCUAAGCGGCGCUGGUGAAGCGGCUCAUCAGGUCUAUCAGGAAACCUGAGAAUUGGAGUGAGAAUCCCAGUGUGGAAAAUCAGGAAAGAGGCUGGUAUGAGCGACAGAGAAGUCAUUCAGGAAAGAGGUUAUUGAAUUCAUUGGAGAAUGAAUGCUGUUCUGAAUUUGUUUACCUCAACAAAUAGCUUACACCUCCAAUCCUGUCUUGGCGUGCCCUGCUCAGAAGACACAAGACACACCAGGAGUGACGUGAGGAAACAGGCAGUAAAGAUAAGCCUUUGCGACUGGGUUACUCAGACCCUCCCUGACAAGGAGGAGCCCAUCUUGAGUGUCCCAGGAGACCUGGACCUUGUGGACAUCCUGCAGAAUGGCAUAUGGAUCCAUUACAAUGAUGACAUCAUGCUGACUGGGCAAGAUGACAAGAGGUUGCUAUACACCAGAGGGCUUGGGAAGACACAUGCCCUGCAGAAGAAAAACCUGCUCCUGAUUACAAGGAUAUGUCGAUUGCAGGGAGGCAGAGGAAGAAAUACAACAGGAUGUCUAUCGAACACAACUUUGGAGUAAGACCUUGGGACCCAACUCCUGUUUGCUUCAUAUACAAGCUUUGAGACGUGAUGAGUUUGCCUCGAUUCUCUAAGCCUCAGUUUCCUCAUCUGUUGUUGUGAGGGAAAUAAUGCAUGGAAAGCUUUUAACACAAUGGCUGGCACACAGUGAAAGUGCAAGACGUUAACCAUUAUCAUGAGAGUUUUCAAUUGGAAUGAAUAGGAGACUUAAAUUUGCAUGAUUGUACUUUUACACUAAGCCAUUAAUGAUGCAUUCAUUUAGUUUUCUACUCCCAAAGAACAUAGAUUUGAUUAAUUAUAACAAGAAUUUAAAAAUAUUUCCAUUAUUCAGAAAUAACCUACAGAGUCUAAGCCUGUCCUUUCCUUCCUCCCUUUUUCCCAAUCUUUUUUUUUUUUUUUUUUUUUUGAAAGAAAUAGCAAUUAUGUAGUCAGAUUCACUGGCUCUUUCUUCUUCUCCCUGGUAACAGGCUAAGUCUUAACCUUGAUUAGGCAGCAUCGCAUCUGAUCUAAGUUCUUCCCAGCUUUCAGCCCAGCCUGCUUCCCCAGGCUUCAGAGCGCAGCUCUGCACCACCCUCUCCACCCCUGCUUAGCAUCAGAACAUUGCCAAAGCUAAGCAUCUAUGCAAUGUUUCUUUUGAAUAGUUGUCUACCUACUUGGAUAUUUUUUUCCUUCUCCCAGAGGCAAAAAUUGGACCACUUAAUCUAUGCUGUAGGACAGUCUUGCCCCUCAGAAAAUACUUGAGCAUAUUAAGUUGUUAUGAAAUGGAUCUGAGAAGCAGAGUUCUGAACCAUGCCCGUGAAUUUCCCAGCCUCAUCACACUGGCAUUCUUUCAUAGCCCCGAAAUACUUUCCACUUGCCCUUCCUAUGAAUGCAAGUAAAGCAAAGCCUCUUGACAAAGCAAAUUAAGAGUAAUCAAUGGUUUGGGUUUUUUUUUUAAUUAUUAUUUCCUGUGACUCAAAUCAAACCUAUUUCUCAACUGUAACGUACGAAAAGAGAGAGAUCAAGUUGACAUUUAGGAAAAUUGAACAUUGAUAAGUAAAUUGCCUUCACUCAGUCUCUUAGGUCCUCUCUCCUUUCCCCCUACCCCACGACACCCCGUGGCCCUGCUCUCUCUCACACACACAGCUGAAGGUAUCUUUAAAGGGUACCUAUUUCCUGCAGAUCACGCUUAUGUUAAUCUCACUUCAAGUACAGAUGCACCGAGGACAUUACAGGGUCAGUCAUUCUUAUCCACAAAGCUUUAGAUUCCACUACAUUAUUCAAACUGGACAAUGGACUUCCCCAUUUUGUGCCCAGACUUGCUCACUAAUAGAGUGACCUCCUUGUUAUGGGUGAGGAUAUAUUUGAUGCUAAAACUGCUACAAAUUUUUAUCAGCAUUUAAUCUUGAGACUGUGAAUUACUACAUCCUGCAUGUGUUGGUACCUUACUUUGAUUAAAAAUGGGAUAAAUCAA
RNAcentral lists this long non-coding RNA (2030 nucleotides) under Homo sapiens (human). RNAcentral describes it as "non-protein coding SCOC-AS1:7". The record is from RNAcentral. Lineage: Eukaryota; Metazoa; Chordata; Mammalia; Primates; Hominidae.